AACGCGAAGAACCUUACCUGGGCUCGAAAUGUAGUGGACUGGGGUAGAAAUAUCCCUUCCUAGCAAUAGGCUGCUAUAUAGGUGCUGCAUGGCUGUCGUCAGCUCGUGUCGUGAGAUGUUGGGUUAAGUCCCGCAACGAGCGCAACCCUUAUUACCAGUUGCCAUCAUUCAGUUGGGCACUCUGGUGAGACCGCCUCGGAUAACGGGGAGGAAGGCGGGGAUGACGUCAAGUCCUCAUGGCCUUUAUGUCCAGGGCUACACACGUGCUACAAUGGCCGGUACAAACCGUCGCAAACCCGUGAGGGGGAGCUAAUCGGAAAAAGCCGGCCUCAGUUCGGAUUGGAGUCUGCAACUCGACUCCAUGAAGCUGGAAUCGCUAGUAAUCGCAGAUCAGAACGCUGCGGUGAAUACGUUCCCGGGCCUUGUA
This 427-nucleotide ribosomal RNA is filed under the name uncultured Acidobacterium sp. Its description in RNAcentral is "bacterial SSU rRNA". It matches the Rfam family "Bacterial small subunit ribosomal RNA", at positions 958 to 1385 of the family's 1533-position model. Lineage: Bacteria; Pseudomonadati; Acidobacteriota; Terriglobia; Terriglobales; Acidobacteriaceae. The record is from RNAcentral.